UGGGGAAUAUUGCACAAUGGGCGCAAGCCUGAUGCAGCCAUGCCGCGUGUAUGAAGAAGGCCUUCGGGUUGUAAAGUACUUUCAGCGGGGAGGAAUGGAGUAAAGUUAAUACCUUUGCUCAUUGACGUUACCCGCAGAAGAAGCACCGGCUAACUCCGUGCCAGCAGCCGCGGUAAUACGGAGGGUGCAAGCGUUAAUCGGAAUUACUGGGCGUAAAGCGCACGCAGGCGGUUUGUUAAGUCAGAUGUGAAAUCCCUGGGCUCAACCUGGGAACUGCAUCUGAUACUGGCAAGCUUGAGUCUCGUAGAGGGAGGUAGAAUUCCAGGUGUAGCGGUGAAAUGCGUAGAGAUCUGGAGGAAUACCGGUGGCGAAAGCGGCCCCCUGGACGAAGACUGACGCUCAGGUGCGAAAGCGUGGGGAGCAAACAGG
RNAcentral lists this ribosomal RNA (429 nucleotides) under Chloroflexota bacterium. Its description in RNAcentral is "Chloroflexi bacterium partial 16S ribosomal RNA". It matches the Rfam family "Bacterial small subunit ribosomal RNA", at positions 355 to 776 of the family's 1533-position model. Lineage: Bacteria; Bacillati; Chloroflexota. The record is from RNAcentral.